CGGGGUGUAGCUCAGCCUGGUAGAGCACUGCCUUCGGGAGGCAGGGGUCAGAGGUUCGAAUCCUCUCAUCCCGACCA
RNAcentral lists this transfer RNA (77 nucleotides) under Gammaproteobacteria bacterium. Its description in RNAcentral is "tRNA-Pro". It matches the Rfam family "tRNA". From Rfam's summary of the family: Transfer RNA (tRNA) molecules are approximately 80 nucleotides in length. Their secondary structure includes four short double-helical elements and three loops (D, anti-codon, and T loops). The record is from RNAcentral. Lineage: Bacteria; Pseudomonadati; Pseudomonadota; Gammaproteobacteria.